CAGUAACGGCGAGUGAAGCGGCAAAAGCUCAAAUUUGAAAUCUGGCUCUUUUAGGGUCCGAGUUGUAAUUUGUAGAAGAUGUUUCGGGUGUGGCUCCGGUUUAAGUUCUUUGGAAUAUUACAUCAUAGAGGGUGAGAAUCCCGUAUGUGACCGGCAGCCUUCGCCUAUGUGAAACUCUUUCGACGAGUCGAGUUGUUUGGGAAUGCAGCUCAAAAUGGGAGGUAUAUUUCUUCUAAAGCUAAAUAUUGGCCAGAGACCGAUAGCGCACAAGUAGAGUGAUCGAAAGAUGAAAAGCACUUUGGAAAGAGAGUUAAACAGUACGUGAAAUUGUUGAAAGGGAAGCGCUUGCAACCAGACUUGCACGCAGUUGAUCAUCCGGUGUUCUCACCGGGGCACUCUGCUGCGUUCAGGCCAGCAUCGGUUUUGGUGGUUGGAUAAAGGCCUUGGGAAUGUGGCUUCCUUCGGGGAGUGUUAUAGCCCUCGGUGCAAUGCAGCCUACCGGGACCGAGGACCGCGCUUCGGCUAGGAUGCUGGCGUAAUGGUUGUAAGCGACCCGUCUUGAAACACGGACCAAGGAGUCUAACAUCUAUGCGAGUGUUUGGGUGUUAAACCCAUACGCGUAAUGAAAGUGAACGGAGGUGAGAACCCUUAAGGGUGCAUCAUCGACCGGUCCUGAUGUCUUCGGAUGGAUCUGAGUAAGAGCAUAGCUGUUGGGACCCGAAAGAUGGUGAACUAUGCGUGAAUAGGGUGAAGCCAGAGGAAACUCUGGUGGAGGCUCGCAGCGGUUCUGACGUGCAAAUCGAUCGUCAAAUUUGCGCAUAGGGGCGAAAGACUUAUCGAACCAUUGAACACCUACUAGGUGGUUAAGAGGCCUUAGUACGGCCUAGUCCUCACCGAGGGCGACAUUGUCAAAUUGUUCGGGGACCUCCUGAUAACUCUCAGACUACCGCAGCCCGCCCGAAAGGGGGGUGCGCACCGGGCUAACGACCCUGGGGAUGGUAACAACGUCUGGGUAGGGAAGAUCCGCAGCCAAGUCCUACCGCCCUCCGGGGCCACGGAUGCAGUUCACAGACUUGAAGGCAGUGGGCUCCCCCGGGAGCUUAAGAUAAAGUCGAACCCCCCGGAGACGGGGUGGAGGGAGGAGAGUGCGUCGCACUCAGAGUCCU
RNAcentral lists this ribosomal RNA (1166 nucleotides) under Rhytismatales sp. RNAcentral's name for it is "partial large subunit ribosomal RNA". It matches the Rfam family "Eukaryotic large subunit ribosomal RNA", at positions 81 to 1154 of the family's 3401-position model. Lineage: Eukaryota; Fungi; Ascomycota; Leotiomycetes; Rhytismatales. The record is from RNAcentral.